AAUGCAUAGAAAUCUGCCCGGUAGUGGGGGAUAACCUGGGGAAACCCAGGCUAAUACCGCAUACGUCCUACGGGAGAAAGCAGGGGAUCUUCGGACCUUGCGCUAUCGGAUGAGUCUAUGUCGGAUUAGCUUGUUGGUGAGGUAAUGGCUCACCAAGGCGACGAUCCGUAGCUGGUCUGAGAGGAUGAUCAGCCACAUCGGGACUGAGACACGGCCCGAACUCCUACGGGAGGCAGCAGUGGGGAAUAUUGGACAAUGGGCGAAAGCCUGAUCCAGCCAUGCCGCGUGUGUGAAGAAGGCCUUCGGGUUGUAAAGCACUUUCAGUGGGGAAGAAAGCCUUGGGGCUAAUACCCUCGAGGAAGGACAUCACCCACAGAAGAAGCACCGGCUAACUCCGUGCCAGCAGCCGCGGUAAUACGGAGGGUGCGAGCGUUAAUCGGAAUUACUGGGCGUAAAGCGCGCGUAGGCGGUCUGAUAAGCCGGUUGUGAAAGCCCCGGGCUCAACCUGGGAACGGCAUCCGGAACUGUCAGGCUAGAGUGCAGGAGAGGAAGGUAGAAUUCCCGGUGUAGCGGUGAAAUGCGUAGAGAUCGGGAGGAAUACCAGUGGCGAAGGCGGCCUUCUGGACUGACACUGACGCUGAGGUGCGAAAGCGUGGGUAGCAAACAGGAUUAGAUACCCUGGUAGUCCACGCCGUAAACGAUGUCGACUAGCCGUUGGGCUCCUUGAGAGCUUUGUGGCGCAGUUAACGCGAUAAGUCGACCGCCUGGGGAGUACGGCCGCAAGGUUAAAACUCAAAUGAAUUGACGGGGGCCCGCACAAGCGGUGGAGCAUGUGGUUUAAUUCGAUGCAACGCGAAGAACCUUACCUACCCUUGACAUCGUGCGAACUUUCCAGAGAUGGAUUGGUGCCUUCGGGAACGCACAGACAGGUGCUGCAUGGCUGUCGUCAGCUCGUGUUGUGAAAUGUUGGGUUAAGUCCCGUAACGAGCGCAACCCUUGUCCUUAUUUGCCAGCGAGUAAUGCCGGGAACUCUAAGGAGACUGCCGGUGACAAACCGGAGGAAGGUGGGGACGACGUCAAGUCAUCAUGGCCCUUACGGGUAGGGCUACACACGUGCUACAAUGGCCGGUACAAAGGGUUGCGAAGCCGCGAGGUGGAGCUAAUCCCGAAAAGCUGGUCUCAGUCCGGAUCGGAGUCUGCAACUCGACUCCGUGAAGUCGGAAUCGCUAGUAAUCGUGAAUCAGAAUGUCACGGUGAAUACGUUCCCGGGCCUUGUACACACCGCCCGUCACACCAUGGGAGUGGACUGCA
Molecule: ribosomal RNA, 1311 nt
Filed under: Halomonas sp. 10R22
Lineage: Bacteria; Pseudomonadati; Pseudomonadota; Gammaproteobacteria; Oceanospirillales; Halomonadaceae
Description: bacterial SSU rRNA
Rfam family: Bacterial small subunit ribosomal RNA
Source: RNAcentral